RNAcentral lists this ribosomal RNA (253 nucleotides) under uncultured bacterium. RNAcentral describes it as "partial 16S ribosomal RNA". It matches the Rfam family "Bacterial small subunit ribosomal RNA", at positions 524 to 776 of the family's 1533-position model. The record is from RNAcentral.
UACGUAGGGUGCGAGCGUUAAUCGGAAUUACUGGGCGUAAAGCGUGCGCAGGCGGUUCGUUAAGUCAGAUGUGAAAGCCCCGGGCUCAACCUGGGAACUGCAUUUGAAACUGGCGGGCUUGAGUGUGGCAGAGGGGGGUGGAAUUCCGCGUGUAGCAGUGAAAUGCGUAGAGAUGCGGAGGAGCACCGAUGGCGAAGGCAGCCCCCUGGGCCAACACUGACGCUCAGGCACGAAAGCGUGGGGAGCAAACAGG